CUAAUACCGGAUAGUUCCUUGAACCGCAUGGUUCAAGGAUGAAAGACGGUUUCGGCUGUCACUUACAGAUGGACCCGCGGCGCAUUAGCUAGUUGGUGGGGUAAUGGCUCACCAAGGCGACGAUGCGUAGCCGACCUGAGAGGGUGAUCGGCCACACUGGGACUGAGACACGGCCCAGACUCCUACGGGAGGCAGCAGUAGGGAAUCUUCCGCAAUGGACGAAAGUCUGACGGAGCAACGCCGCGUGAGUGAUGAAGGUUUUCGGAUCGUAAAGCUCUGUUGUUAGGGAAGAACAAGUGCGAGAGUAACUGCUCGCACCUUGACGGUACCUAACCAGAAAGCCACGGCUAACUACGUGCCAGCAGCCGCGGUAAUACGUAGGUGGCAAGCGUUGUCCGGAAUUAUUGGGCGUAAAGGGCUCGCAGGCGGUUUCUUAAGUCUGAUGUGAAAGCCC
Molecule: ribosomal RNA, 454 nt
Filed under: Bacillus safensis
Lineage: Bacteria; Bacillati; Bacillota; Bacilli; Caryophanales; Bacillaceae
Description: bacterial SSU rRNA
Rfam family: Bacterial small subunit ribosomal RNA
Source: RNAcentral